This is a transfer RNA of Ascochyta rabiei, 99 nucleotides long. It matches the Rfam family "tRNA". From Rfam's summary of the family: Transfer RNA (tRNA) molecules are approximately 80 nucleotides in length. Their secondary structure includes four short double-helical elements and three loops (D, anti-codon, and T loops). NCBI's taxonomy places the organism in Eukaryota, Fungi, Ascomycota, Dothideomycetes, Pleosporales, Didymellaceae. The record is from Rfam.
GACAGCGUGCCAGAGUGGUUAAUGGGUAUGACUCGAACGAGUUCAUCAACUAGAUAUCAUAUGGCUUCGGCCGCGCAGGUUCGAAUCCUGCCGCUGUCG